Molecule: ribosomal RNA, 253 nt
Filed under: uncultured bacterium
Lineage: Bacteria
Description: partial 16S ribosomal RNA
Rfam family: Bacterial small subunit ribosomal RNA
Source: RNAcentral
UACGGGGGGUGCGAGCGUUGUCCGGAAUCACUGGGCGUAAAGGGCGCGUAGGUGGUUUGAUAAGGGUGUGGUGAAAGUCCGGGGCUCAACCCCGGAUCUGCCGUGCCGACUGUCAAACUCGAGGACUGUAGAGGCAGACGGAAUUCCGGGUGUAGCGGUGGAAUGCGUAGAGAUCCGGAGGAAGACCGGUGGCGAAGGCGGUCUGCUGGGCAGUUUCUGGCACUGAGGCGCGACAGCGUGGGGAGCAAACAGG